Molecule: long non-coding RNA, 1023 nt
Organism: Mya arenaria
Lineage: Eukaryota; Metazoa; Mollusca; Bivalvia; Myida; Myidae
Exons: 3
Source: RefSeq, a predicted model, not a curated record
AUCUAUACCAGAUCAAUGUUCGAUAUGGGAGUCGGACAGAUGGCCUUGCUGGAUGCUUCCGAAGAUAUGCUGAAUGUUGCAAGAAAAAAUCUUGCUGCAGAUAUAGGCGCUAAUAAGGUUUCUGCAAUUAUCGAGAAUACUUUACCGGAAAUACCAUUUGGUGAUGGAACAUUUGACGGCGUCCUCUUUAACAUGGUAUACAACAUUUAUCCUUCUUGAGAAAGUGUAUGGCAUCACCGGACUUUACGAUUUAUGUCCCAGGUGUCACAUACACAGGUAUUGCACCAUUUGCCAAGAGGUGUUGGCAGGAAUUUCUUUGGAGCAGUUGAGGCCCUAAAGGAGGCACGCCGGGUUUUACAACCAGAAGGAGUUAUUGCUAUAACAACAGUGCUGGAUUCAUUUUAACGAACGCAUGGUGUCUCAACAUUUCCCCUGAAAUACCAAAUAAACUGUGUACCAUUCUGCCAUCGGCAGAAGAAUGGAACAAUAUGAUUUAUAAAGCUGGCCUUAAAUGCUUGGUAAGGACAAAUUUGCUUGGAUUCGGAAUAUUUAGUCAGGAAGACUAUACUGAUGCUACUAACAUCUUUAAGCAGGAAUGGCGAAAUAGCGCUGUUUUCUAUGAAAUGGCAACAGAAGAAGAAUUUGAACGUGCUAGACAGAAGGUCAAAACACUUCAAACGAGGGGUGAGAUUAAGGAGUGGAUUAAAGAACACGACAAAACGCAAAAGUUCGGAUUUGUAACUCUAUUUCUUUGUCAGUGAAUGAAGUACUAGUAUAAGACAUUAACUAAUGAUAAAAAUGAGUAUAAUUGCAACAUUAUACAAUGCUCUGACCUGCUGUUUGAUUAAAGGGAGUUUUUCAGUUUUGUUAAAAAGAAUCUUUUGUACAAAAAGUAUCCACCGGAGGAGGAAUAUGAAACGAUAAUGAAAUAACAGCAAUUUCGCCAGUUUACUUGUUUAUCCAAACAAGUUAAAAGGAAUCCUGUUGAUGUAUUAUUGUCAAUAAAUGGAAAAGCAAUCAUGA